UACAGAGGGUGCGAGCGUUAAUCGGAAUUACUGGGCGUAAAGGGCGCGUAGGUGGUUAGUUAAGAUUGAUGUGAAAUCCCUGGGCUUAACCUAGGAAUGGCAUCGAUGACUGGCUAGCUGGAGUACUGUAGAGGGUAGUGGAAUUUCCGGUGUAGCGGUGAAAUGCGUAGAGAUCGGAAGGAACACCAGUGGCGAAGGCGACUAUCUGGACAGAUACUGACGCUGAGGCACGAAAGCGUGGGGAGCAAACAGG
This 253-nucleotide ribosomal RNA is filed under the name uncultured bacterium. Its description in RNAcentral is "partial 16S ribosomal RNA". It matches the Rfam family "Bacterial small subunit ribosomal RNA", at positions 524 to 776 of the family's 1533-position model. The record is from RNAcentral.